AAUCGCGGGCGCUUGGGCCGCCAUCUUAGAUGGCGGGAGUAAGAGGAAAACGAUUGUGAGGCGGGAACGGCUUUCUGCUGCCUUUUUUGGGCCCCGAAAAGGGUCAGCUGGCCGGGCUUUGGGGCGCGUGCCCUGAGGCGCGGAGCGCGUUUGCUACGAUGCGGGGGCUGCUCGGGGCUCCGUCCCCUGGGCUGGGGACGCGCCGAAUGUGACCGCCUCCCGCUCCCUCACCCGCCGCGGGGAGGAGGAGCGGGCGAGAAGCUGCCGCCGAACGACAGGACGUUGGGGCGGCCUGGCUCCCUCAGGUUUAAGAAUUGUUUAAGCUGCAUCAAUGGAGCACAUACAGGGAGCUUGGAAGACGAUCAGCAAUGGUUUUGGAUUCAAAGAUGCCGUGUUUGAUGGCUCCAGCUGCAUCUCUCCUACAAUAGUUCAGCAGUUUGGCUAUCAGCGCCGGGCAUCAGAUGAUGGCAAACUCACAGAUCCUUCUAAGACAAGCAACACUAUCCGUGUUUUCUUGCCGAACAAGCAAAGAACAGUGGUCAAUGUGCGAAAUGGAAUGAGCUUGCAUGACUGCCUUAUGAAAGCACUCAAGGUGAGGGGCCUGCAACCAGAGUGCUGUGCAGUGUUCAGACUUCUCCACGAACACAAAGGUAAAAAAGCACGCUUAGAUUGGAAUACUGAUGCUGCGUCUUUGAUUGGAGAAGAACUUCAAGUAGAUUUCCUGGAUCAUGUUCCCCUCACAACACACAACUUUGCUCGGAAGACGUUCCUGAAGCUUGCCUUCUGUGACAUCUGUCAGAAAUUCCUGCUCAAUGGAUUUCGAUGUCAGACUUGUGGCUACAAAUUUCAUGAGCACUGUAGCACCAAAGUACCUACUAUGUGUGUGGACUGGAGUAACAUCAGACAACUCUUAUUGUUUCCAAAUUCCACUAUUGGUGAUAGUGGAGUCCCAGCACUACCUUCUUUGACUAUGCGUCGUAUGCGAGAGUCUGUUUCCAGGAUGCCUGUUAGUUCUCAGCACAGAUAUUCUACACCUCACGCCUUCACCUUUAACACCUCCAGUCCCUCAUCUGAAGGUUCCCUCUCCCAGAGGCAGAGGUCGACAUCCACACCUAAUGUCCACAUGGUCAGCACCACCCUGCCUGUGGACAGCAGGAUGAUUGAGGAUGCAAUUCGAAGUCACAGCGAAUCAGCCUCACCUUCAGCCCUGUCCAGUAGCCCCAACAAUCUGAGCCCAACAGGCUGGUCACAGCCGAAAACCCCCGUGCCAGCACAAAGAGAGCGGGCACCAGUAUCUGGGACCCAGGAGAAAAACAAAAUUAGGCCUCGUGGACAGAGAGAUUCAAGCUAUUAUUGGGAAAUAGAAGCCAGUGAAGUGAUGCUGUCCACUCGGAUUGGGUCAGGCUCUUUUGGAACUGUUUAUAAGGGUAAAUGGCACGGAUUAGCUGUGGGUGUCCCUAUCAAACAGGGAAGGCAUUGACUUAAUUCUUGAAUCUAUGUGGAAUAUUAAUGUUCUGAUUUUAAUGGAAACACUUUGUCACUUGGAAGAAAGGAGAUGUUGCAGUAAAGAUCCUAAAGGUUGUCGACCCAACCCCAGAGCAAUUCCAGGCCUUCAGGAAUGAGGUGGCUGUUCUGCGCAAAACACGGCAUGUGAACAUUCUGCUUUUCAUGGGGUACAUGACAAAGGACAACCUGGCAAUUGUGACCCAGUGGUGCGAGGGCAGCAGCCUCUACAAACACCUGCAUGUCCAGGAGACCAAGUUUCAGAUGUUCCAGCUAAUUGACAUUGCCCGGCAGACGGCUCAGGGAAUGGACUAUUUGCAUGCAAAGAACAUCAUCCAUAGAGACAUGAAAUCCAACAAUAUAUUUCUCCAUGAAGGCUUAACAGUGAAAAUUGGAGAUUUUGGUUUGGCAACAGUAAAGUCACGCUGGAGUGGUUCUCAGCAGGUUGAACAACCUACUGGCUCUGUCCUCUGGAUGGCCCCAGAGGUGAUCCGAAUGCAGGAUAACAACCCAUUCAGUUUCCAGUCGGAUGUCUACUCCUAUGGCAUCGUAUUGUAUGAACUGAUGACGGGGGAGCUUCCUUAUUCUCACAUCAACAACCGAGAUCAGAUCAUCUUCAUGGUGGGCCGAGGAUAUGCCUCCCCAGAUCUUAGUAAGCUAUAUAAGAACUGCCCCAAAGCAAUGAAGAGGCUGGUAGCUGACUGUGUGAAGAAAGUAAAGGAAGAGAGGCCUCUUUUUCCCCAGAUCCUGUCUUCCAUUGAGCUGCUCCAACACUCUCUACCGAAGAUCAACCGGAGCGCUUCCGAGCCAUCCUUGCAUCGGGCAGCCCACACUGAGGAUAUCAAUGCUUGCACGCUGACCACGUCCCCGAGGCUGCCUGUCUUCUAGUUGACUUUGCACCUGUCUUCAGGCUGCCAGGGGAGGAGGAGAAGCCAGCAGGCACCACUUUUCUGCUCCCUUUCUCCAGAGGCAGAACACAUGUUUUCAGAGAAGCUGCUGCUAAGGACCUUCUAGACUGCUCACAGGGCCUUAACUUCAUGUUGCCUUCUUUUCUAUCCCUUUGGGCCCUGGGAGAAGGAAGCCAUUUGCAGUGCUGGUGUGUCCUGCUCCCUCCCCACAUUCCCCAUGCUCAAGGCCCAGCCUUCUGUAGAUGCGCAAGUGGAUGUUGAUGGUAGUACAAAAAGCAGGGGCCCAGCCCCAGCUGUUGGCUACAUGAGUAUUUAGAGGAAGUAAGGUAGCAGGCAGUCCAGCCCUGAUGUGGAGACACAUGGGAUUUUGGAAAUCAGCUUCUGGAGGAAUGCAUGUCACAGGCGGGACUUUCUUCAGAGAGUGGUGCAGCGCCAGACAUUUUGCACAUAAGGCACCAAACAGCCCAGGACUGCCGAGACUCUGGCCGCCCGAAGGAGCCUGCUUUGGUACUAUGGAACUUUUCUUAGGGGACACGUCCUCCUUUCACAGCUUCUAAGGUGUCCAGUGCAUUGGGAUGGUUUUCCAGGCAAGGCACUCGGCCAAUCCGCAUCUCAGCCCUCUCAGGGAGCAGUCUUCCAUCAUGCUGAAUUUUGUCUUCCAGGAGCUGCCCCUAUGGGGCGGGGCCGCAGGGCCAGCCUUGUUUCUCUAACAAACAAACAAACAAACAGCCUUGUUUCUCUAGUCACAUCAUGUGUAUACAAGGAAGCCAGGAAUACAGGUUUUCUUGAUGAUUUGGGUUUUAAUUUUGUUUUUAUUGCACCUGACAAAAUACAGUUAUCUGAUGGUCCCUCAAUUAUGUUAUUUUAAUAAAAUAAAUUAAAUUUAGGUGUAA
RNA transcript from Homo sapiens (human), 3304 nucleotides. It is a transcript of the gene named Raf-1 proto-oncogene, serine/threonine kinase, with no coding region annotated. NCBI's taxonomy places the organism in Eukaryota, Metazoa, Chordata, Mammalia, Primates, Hominidae. The record is from RefSeq and is marked reviewed. The transcript has 18 exons.